AGUCGAGGGGUAUGGCAGCAAUGCCAGAGACCGGCGCACGGGUGCGUAACGCGUAUGCAACCUACCUUUCACAGGGGGAUAGCCCAGAGAAAUUUGGAUUAAUACCCCAUGGUAUAUUGAGAUGGCAUCAUCUUAUUAUUAAAGUCACAACGGUGAAAGAUGGGCAUGCGUCCUAUUAGCUAGUUGGUGUGGUAACGGCAUACCAAGGCUACGAUAGGUAGGGGUCCUGAGAGGGAGAUCCCCCACACUGGUACUGAGACACGGACCAGACUCCUACGGGAGGCAGCAGUGAGGAAUAUUGGUCAAUGGGCGCAAGCCUGAACCAGCCAUGCCGCGUGCAGGAUGAAGCAUCUAUGGUGUGUAAACUGCUUUUGUACGGGAAGAAACCCCUCCACGUGUGGAGGAUUGACGGUACCGUAAGAAUAAGGAUCGGCUAACUCCGUGCCAGCAGCCGCGGUAAUACGGAGGAUCCAAGCGUUAUCCGGAAUCAUUGGGUUUAAAGGGUCCGUAGGCGGGCUAAUAAGUCAGUGGUGAAAUCUCCCCGCUCAACGGGGAAACGGCCAUUGAUACUGUUAGCCUUGAAUUAUUAGGAAGUAACUAGAAUAUGUAGUGUAGCGGUGAAAUGCUUAGAUAUUACAUGGAAUACCAAUUGCGAAGGCAGGUUACUACUAAUUGAUUGACGCUGAUGG
Molecule: ribosomal RNA, 689 nt
Filed under: uncultured Bacteroidota bacterium
Lineage: Bacteria; Pseudomonadati; Bacteroidota
Description: bacterial SSU rRNA
Rfam family: Bacterial small subunit ribosomal RNA
Source: RNAcentral